This 221-nucleotide long non-coding RNA is filed under the name Elaeis guineensis (African oil palm). RNAcentral describes it as "long non-coding RNA (EGUI_LNC078531)". The record is from RNAcentral. Lineage: Eukaryota; Viridiplantae; Streptophyta; Magnoliopsida; Arecales; Arecaceae.
CAUCUCCUCCACUCUGAUCUUCUUCGCCAGCCCGGAGGCUGCGGUGUCCUUUCUUUUAAGAGCCUUCAGGCCCUUGGCAAGCAUCUGUGCUUCUUCGGCGUCCAUGCCCAAAAAAAAAAAGGAAAGAAAAGGAGAAAGAGGGAGUGAAAAAGGAGAAAAGAAGAGAAGUAGGGGAGAAAGAGAGGGAAGGAAAGGAAAAGAAGAAAAGAAAAGGAGAGAUG